RNAcentral lists this unclassified non-coding RNA (2064 nucleotides) under Hevea brasiliensis (rubber tree). The record is from RNAcentral. Lineage: Eukaryota; Viridiplantae; Streptophyta; Magnoliopsida; Malpighiales; Euphorbiaceae.
GCCAGCAAUUUCGUGGACACCUAAAAAUAUUCCACCUACGACACAUCUAGCCAUAAGAAAUAAUAGUUCACGUGGCCAUUGAUGUGGUCGAGGGAGAGGUAAUUCUGCUAAGUUCAUUAACCAGUUGACCAUUGGAUACACCCAAUCCAAUUUAGCUAAUCAACUCCCAACCACCACAAUCUGCCAUAACUGUAGAUGCCAAAGGCAUAUUGCCAAACAAUGCCCGUCACCAAGGUUGAAUGCCAACAGCAUCAACGGAUAGCCAAAUUCCAACUUUGCCUCAACCAGUGCUUCUACCAUGCAGAAUUGGACAGUGGAUUCCAGUGCCAACUAUCACCUAACACCUCAAGAAGGAAACAUCCCUCACAAAUCCCUUUAUUAUGCAGUGAUGACAUAGUUAUUGGCAACGGUAAUACUCUUUCAAUUACUCAUAUUGGUAUUUCUCCAGUCUCUAUUAAUAAUAAUUCUUUUGUUCUUGAUAAUAUUUUGUGUUCCCCUUCCAUUCAACACAAUUUAUUUUUUGUGCAUUCAUUUACUAAACAGAAUAAUGUAUCUAUUGAAUUUUUCUCUGAUUUCUUUAUAGUGAAGGAUAUCCACAUGAAACAGGAUUUGUUCUGUGGCCUGAGUGAAGGUGGCCUCUACACCAUUUCUCUUCAAAUCCAUCAAUCGCCAACAGCACGAACUCAAACUAUUGAAUUAAGCACCUGGCAUGCCCGUCUUGGUCAUGUUAAGUUCUCUCUCACAAUAAUUUACCUUCCAUUAAAAAUAAAAAUUCUUUUGUUCCUUACAAUGCUUGUAGCACUAGCAAGUCCCAUAAGCUUCCUUUUUCUGAGUCUUGCAUUAAAGUUAGUCAACCUUUAGAAUUAGUUUGUUCCAAUGUUUGGAGACCUUCCUCAGUUCCAUGCAUGUGUUCAAGGAUUUCGUUAUUAUGUUUUGUUUUAUGACCAUUUUAGUAAGUAUUGCUAGCUUUAUUUUCUAAAGAAGAAAUAUGAUGUCUUGAGUGUUUUCAUUUGGUUCUACAAUUUAAUUGAAAAGUAUUAUUCAUUGCCAAUAAAAUGUUUCCAGGCUGAGUAGGGUGGUGAAUUUAAAGCAUUAACACCUAUUUAUGUGACAAUGGCAUUACCCAACGUAUUUUCUAUCUCCAUACACUUGAACAAAAUGGGUGCAUUGAGCACAAACAUAGACGCAUUGUAGAAAUUGGAAGAGCACUUUUACAUCAUGCCUAGUCCCACAUAAAUAUUGGACAAAUGCUUUUGAAACUGCACCAUACACCAUUAAUUGUAUUCCAUCCAUUCACACCUUAUGAGAUUAUCUUCAAUUCUACACCCAAUUAUGAUGAACUUCGCAUUUUUGGAUACCUUUUGUUACUCUUAGUUAAAACCAUAUGCCUCUACCAAAUUGGAUGCUUGAUCAAUCAAAUGUGUUUUCCCUGGCUAUAACAAAUUACACGAAGGUUAUAAUUGUUUGGAUUUAUCUACUAGAAAAAUUUAUGUCUUACGUCAUGUCGUUUUUCAUGAACAGGUGUUUCCUUUUCAAAGUGCUGAUGAUAAUUCAUAUCCUUCCAUUGAUCAAUUUCAACAUAGUCCGAAGCAACAGUCUUCUUCGUUCACUAUACCAGCGCCACUUUUACAUGAGCCCAUCCAACAAAAUCCUACUGACAACAUCCUAGGCCUACAAGGUCUCAAACUGAUCUUUUUAAACCAAAGACUUAUUUAACUAGCACUUCGACACAAGUUGUGCCCACUUGUUCCACUCAAGCUAUGGUAUUGAAAGAAUGGCGUAAGGCCAUGCACUAGGAAAUUAAUGUACUAAUCCAAAUGCAAACUUGGGAUUUGGUGCCAAGACAUGAAGUUGCAAAUAUAAUUGGCUGCAAAUGGGUGGUCAGGAUAAAAACAAAAGUCAGAUGGGUCUAUUGAAUGCUACAAAGCACGCCAUGGUGGAAAAGGCUUCCAUUAAUGCCCUGGUAUUGUUUUUAUGGAACCUUUUCACCAGUUGUUAAAUUAACAGCAAUCCAAAUUAUUUUAUAUCUGGUAAUUUCAUUUGGGUGGCCUAUCAAACAGUUAG